GACGAACGCUGGCGGCGUGCCUAAUACAUGCAAGUUGAGCGAUGAAGAUUGGUGCUUGCACCAAUUUGAAGAGCAGCGAACGGGUGAGUAACGCGUGGGGAAUCUGCCUUUGAGCGGGGGACAACAUUUGGAAACGAAUGCUAAUACCGCAUAAUAACUUUAAACAUAAGUUUUAAGUUUGAAAGAUGCAAUUGCAUCACUCAAAGAUGAUCCCGCGUUGUAUUAGCUAGUUGGUGAGGUAAAGGCUCACCAAGGCGAUGAUACAUAGCCGACCUGAGAGGGUGAUCGGCCACAUUGGGACUGAGACACGGCCCAAACUCCUACGGGAGGCAGCAGUAGGGAAUCUUCGGCAAUGGACGAAAGUCUGACCGAGCAACGCCGCGUGAGUGAAGAAGGUUUUCGGAUCGUAAAACUCUGUUGGUAGAGAAGAACGUUGGUGAGAGUGGAAAGCUCAUCGAGUGACGGUAACUACCCAGAAAGGGACGGCUAACUACGUG
RNAcentral lists this ribosomal RNA (497 nucleotides) under uncultured bacterium. RNAcentral describes it as "partial 16S ribosomal RNA". It matches the Rfam family "Bacterial small subunit ribosomal RNA", at positions 28 to 507 of the family's 1533-position model. The record is from RNAcentral.